Molecule: long non-coding RNA, 1863 nt
Organism: Oncorhynchus tshawytscha (Chinook salmon)
Lineage: Eukaryota; Metazoa; Chordata; Actinopteri; Salmoniformes; Salmonidae
Exons: 3
Source: RefSeq, a predicted model, not a curated record
CGAGCUAUCACUGAGCAAUAGAACACAGGAAGAAUCCACUCUCAUCAGGAGGGGGGCUGGCUGAGAGGCAGCUUCUGAGACAGAUGGUUCCUCUCCUGUCAUUGGCUCGUUAUCAGCCUGGCUGGCAAAACCGCCAGUCCAAUAGUCAAGCAUCUUUUAUCGUGCUAUCAACAACCCUCUCGUCAGGUUUCUACAGUAAAUCCUGCUAUCAACAACCCUCUCGUCAGUUUUCUACGGUAAGUCCUGCUAUCAACAACCCUCUCGUCAGUCCCCAGGUUUCUACGGUAAAUCCUGCUAUCAACAACCCUCUCCUCAGGUUUCUACUGUAAAUCCUGCUAUCAACAACCCUCUCGUCAGUCGUCAGGUUUCUACGGUAAAUCCUGCUAUCAACAACCCUCUCGUCAGGUUUCUACUGUAAAUCCUGCAAUCAACAACCCUCUCCUCAGGUUUCUACUGUAAAUCCUGCUAUCAACAACCCUCUCGUCAGUCGUCAGGUUUCUACGGUAAAUCCUGCUAUCAACAACCCUCUCCUCAGGUUUCUACUGUAAAUCCUGCUAUCAACAACCCUCUCCUCAGGUUUCUACGGUAAACCCUGCUAUCAACAACCCUCUCCUCAGGUUUCUACGGUAAACCCUGCUAUCAACAACCCUCUCGUCAGUCGUCAGGUUUCUACGGUAAAUCCUGCUAUCAACAACCCUCUCGUCAGGUUUCUACUGUAAAUCCUGCAAUCAACAACCCUCUCCUCAGGUUUCUACGGUAAAUCCUGCUAUCAACAACCCUCUCGUCAGGUUUCUACUGUAAAUCCUGCUAUCAACAACCCUCUCCUCAGGUUUAUACAGUAAACCCUGUAAUCAACAACCCUCUGGUCAGGUUUCUACUGUAAAUCCUGCAAUCAACAACCCUCUCGUCAGGUUUCUACUGUAAAUCCUGCUAUCAACAACCCUCUCCUCAGGUUUCUACUGUAAAUCCUGCUAUCAACAACCCUCUCCUCAGGUUUCUACUGUAAAUCUUCAAGAGGUGUGUGUGAAGCUGUCUGAGUGAAGCUAUAUGGUAUGUCUGCUGGUAAUACUGCACUGUACAGCCCUGUCUAAGUUGGUACUUGCCAGGGUUUAUGGGGAAAUUGUGCUUUAAAAAAUAAAAUGGAAGACUACACAAUAGAACAUGGUAACAGAGUAAUUGUCAUGUAAUUUUAAUAUUAUGACCAUGUAAUACUGAUGUAAAUACCUGGUAAAUAGAGAACUGGAAAUAGAAAGCCUAACCAACCAACUUCAAUUGGGGGUCUAGAUUUCUUUACUAGAGGUUCCUCCCUGCAUUGCAGUAUUCUCUGUCCUGGGGUGGGGGUUAUGAUGCUUACUACUGCACUCCCAAAUCACACCUCCUACCACACUGCUACUGACAAACAAUUUUUAUCCAUUUCCACACUAUGAGUUUGGAAUAAUAAUGUGAAAUUGUGAAAAGGAUGAUGCCAUUUCAGUGUAAAAGCUGUUUGAAAAAGCUGCCUGAAAUUGCAGCCUGUUUUGGUGGGAGUGAGAUUUGGCCUUCCAUGGUAACAUCACCAUGCGAUACAUUAGUUAAUAGACCAAUAAGAAAGAGAGUUCCAAACCCCUCGGCCAAUAACAGCUAAUUUUCUGUUUUCCGCUCCCCACUCAAAACUUGCUAAAUUCUAUUGCUCUUCGCUAAGAAGAUAUUUUUGUUGGUUUUUGACAAUUUUAACUGACAGCAAUCACAGUAAUCACAGCAAUCUGUCACGCCCUGGUCGAAGUAUUUUGUGUUUAUCUUCAUGUAUUGGGUCAGGCCAGGGUGUGGCAUGGGUUUUUGCAUGUGGUGUGUAUAUAUUGGGAUUGUAGCUAGUGGGGUGAUCUA